GUCCACGCCGUAAACGAUGAUCACUAGAUGUGGGUUUUGCCUAGCAAGAUCCGUGUCGAAGCUAACGCGUUAAGUGAUCCGCCUGGGAAGUACGGUCGCAAGAUUAAAACUCAAAGGAAUUGACGGGGGUCCGCACAAGCGGUGGAACAUGUGGUUUAAUUCGACACUACGCGAGGAACCUUACCUGGGUUUGACAUGUAACUGCAACUGGUGGAAACACUGGGUUCUGUAGCAAUACAGACGGUUACACAGGUGCUGCAUGGCUGUCGU
This 270-nucleotide ribosomal RNA is filed under the name uncultured bacterium. RNAcentral's name for it is "partial 16S ribosomal RNA". It matches the Rfam family "Bacterial small subunit ribosomal RNA", at positions 793 to 1055 of the family's 1533-position model. The record is from RNAcentral.